AUGCUUCUCCUAAAGACUAAGCCAUGCAUGCCUCCGAAUAGAAGAGCUUUCUCUCUGAAUCUGCGAACGGCUCCGCAAAACAGUUGUAAACUAUAGCAAGCACGCUUAUCGGCCGCAAGGCUGGUGGGCUAUAUGGAUAACCCUGGUAAUUCUGAGGCUAAUACAAGAACGUACCCCCUGUCCGACUGGGCAACUGGAAGGGCGGGGAGCGUGCAACACGGCGCAAAAGAAACUGGGAAUCGGUGCACGCUCAGACCACCAUACAAACGGUUGACCUAGGCUUCGGCCCGGGGCUUCUGGGUGGCUCUUGCAAUGUGCUUCUGACCUAUCAACUAGAUGGCAGCGUAAGGGACAUGCUAUGGUUACAACGGGUACAGAGGAUAAGGGUUCGAUCCUGGAGAGUGGGCCUGAGAGAUUGCUCACACUUCUAAGGAAGGCAGCAGGCGCGCAACGUUCCCCUUGGGCAAUGCUCGAGGGCGUUAGGGGACAUAUGAAUGCCUGCCAUAUGGUGGGCAAUUCAAAUGGGACUGUUCUAAACAGCCUA
RNAcentral lists this ribosomal RNA (544 nucleotides) under Leocarpus fragilis. RNAcentral describes it as "SSU rRNA". It matches the Rfam family "Eukaryotic small subunit ribosomal RNA", at positions 28 to 536 of the family's 1831-position model. Lineage: Eukaryota; Evosea; Eumycetozoa; Physariida; Physaraceae. The record is from RNAcentral.